CCUACGGGGGGCAGCAGUGGGGAAUAUUGGACAAUGGGCGAAAGCCUGAUCCAGCCAUGCCGCGUGUGUGAAGAAGGCCUUCGGGUUGUAAAGCACUUUCAGUGGGGAAGAAAGCCUUGGGGCUAAUACCCUCGAGGAAGGACAUCACCCACAGAAGAAGCACCGGCUAACUCCGUGCCAGCAGCCGCGGUAAUACGGAGGGUGCGAGCGUUAAUCGGAAUUACUGGGCGUAAAGCGCGCGUAGGCGGUCUGAUAAGCCGGUUGUGAAAGCCCCGGGCUCAACCUGGGAACGGCAUCCGGAACUGUCAGGCUAGAGUGCAGGAGAGGAAGGUAGAAUUCCCGGUGUAGCGGUGAAAUGCGUAGAGAUCGGGAGGAAUACCAGUGGCGAAGGCGGCCUUCUGGACUGACACUGACGCUGAGGUGCGAAAGCGUGGGUAGCAAACAGGAGUAGAUACCCUGGUAGUC
RNAcentral lists this ribosomal RNA (465 nucleotides) under Vreelandella stevensii. Its description in RNAcentral is "partial 16S ribosomal RNA". It matches the Rfam family "Bacterial small subunit ribosomal RNA", at positions 338 to 795 of the family's 1533-position model. Lineage: Bacteria; Pseudomonadati; Pseudomonadota; Gammaproteobacteria; Oceanospirillales; Halomonadaceae. The record is from RNAcentral.